This 78-nucleotide transfer RNA is filed under the name Metallosphaera cuprina Ar-4. RNAcentral describes it as "tRNA-His (GTG) (tRNA-His-GTG-1-1)". It matches the Rfam family "tRNA". From Rfam's summary of the family: Transfer RNA (tRNA) molecules are approximately 80 nucleotides in length. Their secondary structure includes four short double-helical elements and three loops (D, anti-codon, and T loops). Further hydrogen bonds mediate the characteristic L-shaped molecular structure. tRNAs have two regions of fundamental functional importance: the anti-codon, which is responsible for specific mRNA codon recognition, and the 3' end, to which the tRNAs corresponding amino acid is attached (by aminoacyl-tRNA synthetases). tRNAs cope with the degeneracy of the genetic code in two manners: having more than one tRNA (with a specific anti-codon) for a particular amino acid; and 'wobble' base-pairing, i.e. permitting non-standard base-pairing at the 3rd anti-codon position. The record is from RNAcentral. Lineage: Archaea; Thermoproteati; Thermoproteota; Thermoprotei; Sulfolobales; Sulfolobaceae. RNAcentral also lists the same sequence under 2 other names.
GCUCAGGUAGCUCAGCUCGGUUAGAGCGCUGGGCUGUGGACCCAGUGGUCCCGGGUUCAAAUCCCGGCCUGAGCCCCA